GACGAACGCUGGCGGCGUGCUUAACACAUGCAAGUCGAACGGAAAGGCCCUGCUUUUGUGGGGUGCUCGAGUGGCGAACGGGUGAGUAACACGUGAGUAACCUGCCCUUGACUUUGGGAUAACUUCAGGAAACUGGGGCUAAUACCGGAUAGGAGCUCCUGCUGCAUGGUGGGGGUUGGAAAGUUUCGGCGGUUGGGGAUGGACUCGCGGCUUACCAGCUUGUUGGUGGGGUAGUGGCUUACCAAGGCUUUGAAGGGUAGCCGGCCUGGGAGGGUGGCCGGCCACAUUGGGACUGAGGGACGGCCCAGACUGCUACGGGAGGCAGCAGUGGGGAGUAUUGCACAAUGGGCGGAAGCCGGAUACAGCAACGCCGCGUGCGGGAUGACGGCCUUCGGGGUGUGAACCGCUUUCGCCUGUGACGAAGCGUGAGUGACGGUAAUGGGUAAAGAAGCACCGGCUAACUACGUG
Molecule: ribosomal RNA, 468 nt
Filed under: uncultured bacterium
Lineage: Bacteria
Description: partial 16S ribosomal RNA
Rfam family: Bacterial small subunit ribosomal RNA
Source: RNAcentral